This 108-nucleotide Y RNA is filed under the name Propithecus coquereli (Coquerel's sifaka). Its description in RNAcentral is "Y RNA (ENSPCOG00000008547.1)". It matches the Rfam family "Y RNA". From Rfam's summary of the family: Y RNAs are components of the Ro ribonucleoprotein particle (Ro RNP), in association with Ro60 and La proteins. Lineage: Eukaryota; Metazoa; Chordata; Mammalia; Primates; Indriidae. The record is from Rfam by way of RNAcentral.
GGCUGGUCCUAAGGUAGUGAGUUAUCUCACUUGAUUGUUCACAGUCAGUUACAGAUUGAACUCCUUGUUCUGCUACUUAACCCCCCUCCCGCACUUGACUAGUCUAAA